UAGAAAAUAUUUUAAAAUAAAAUAAAUUUUUUACAAAAAUUUGAUGGAUAAAUCCUUUUCUUU
RNAcentral lists this transfer RNA (63 nucleotides) under Setaphyes kielensis. RNAcentral describes it as "tRNA-Val". The record is from RNAcentral. Lineage: Eukaryota; Metazoa; Kinorhyncha; Allomalorhagida; Pycnophyidae.